AUGUCGUUGGUGGAUCUACAGCUCUGGAUCUUCAAGCUGUUUCGGCUCCAUCCAGAAACACAAGAUCUCGCCAUUAAGGGGUUCAUCAAACAACGCAAAACUGACUUGUUCGACGACUUCGAACCUGACUGGUAUAUGGAGUACUGCCCUUGGGACACAUGUUACUUUCAAACUGACAAGUGCUGGAGUGCCUUUGCCAAUAAAUUAAAGCGGAAAAGGAAUGUGAUGCAAAAGUUCAUGUUGUAUGCAGAAUGCUCUGAGAUCAAGCACUAUGCUAUUUUGCUCAAAGCCGUGCAUGAUGAUUACUCUCAGUUGGCACGGGUUGUGUUUCCUGGGACGAAAUGCCUGACAAUUUCUAACUUCCGCUUCCUCCGCCUAGUGGAAGACCUGUCAAUGACACCUAAGGAAAUUAUAGCUUAUCUCGCUCAACACUAUGGCGAGCAGAUGAACCCCCUUGAGGCGUGGAGGGCUAGACAGAAGGCUCUGGAGCGGGAGUUUGGUACAUUUUACGAUUCACACAACUUUGCCCCAAGGUUACUUAAGGACAUAACAUGUAAAACCCCUUGGGGUUUUGUAGACAUCAAGGAUGCAGAGGUUGCAGGAUGUGACAACUUUCGAGUCCUUCACCAUAUAUUUUGGGCUUUUGGGCAGUGCGUGCAGGCCUUCAAUCAUUGUCGCCCUGUGCUAUGCAUUAAAGGCACACCACUAUGCGGGAAAUAUCAAGAGGUGCUGUUGACUGCUGUAGCAUUAGAUGCUAAUGGUUACUCCAUUCCAGUAGCAUGUGCCGUCGUUGAGGGGGAGACCAAGGAAAGCUGGAUGUGGUUUCUUAGGAAUUUGGAGCAACCAGUGAGGCAUCCAUCGGAUGUUUGCAUUAUACAUGACUACAAAAGAGAGGUGAUCGAUGCUAUAGAGGACUUUCUAAGUUCCGAUCGGCGACAAUGGGGGAAAGUAGAAAGCCGGUGGUGCAUGGAACACCUUGCCGAAGACUUCUUUGCAUAUUUUGGUGACAAGAACCUGGUGUUGAUGUUCAAGAAACUUUGUCAGCAGAGGCGACUAAAUAAGUUUGUUAAAAUCUGGAAGGAGCUCGAUGAGUUGACAACAAAAUAUACAGCAGAGAGAGAAGGUGGUACUAGUGGGGAAAUGCAGCAAGAGUUAGUCCAGCAUGAUGAGGUAGACCUGGUGGCACAACGCCUGUGGAACCGACCUGAUUCAGUGGACUCUGAAGAGGAAUGA
This 1233-nucleotide ribosomal RNA is filed under the name Triticum aestivum (bread wheat). RNAcentral describes it as "partial small subunit ribosomal RNA". Lineage: Eukaryota; Viridiplantae; Streptophyta; Magnoliopsida; Poales; Poaceae. The record is from RNAcentral.